UCUAGCUACAUAAGUCGUAGUGGAGAAAGAUCAGCCUUCAACUUGUUAUACAAGAGAAAGAACAUGUCAGAUCAGAGGUACAGAUAACGUCUCAUAAGUUUACGAUCACAGAUAAAUGUUAACUUUGAUAGGUUAAUAGGACAAGCAAGUCUGGCAAACGAGGAUCAAGAAGGCAGUCUUAUUGAAAGGUAUUUUAUUGAGGCUACUAUAAAACAGUGUGUAGUUAUAAAAAUACUUGCAAGAGAGUUAAUUUAUUUUUUGUAUAACCCAGCCAUAAAUUUAAAUUGUUAUUGAACAUCCUGCGCGCGCUCCCGCGGACAUUAAUCGUUUAAACAGAUAGCUUUUUUAGCAAGACACUUGUAGCUUAAAGAAAUCUUCAGUCACGUGAGCAUAAUUGAAGGGUUAAUCUAUUAACGUUAUUGAUAUUCUAAAACCACAUGUCCAAGUUAGUGUAACGUUUUACUUUUAGGUUGUGAGAAUUCAGAAAUGAGACAAAUCCAAGACCUACAAGGAGGAGAAGGAGGAGGCCCAACCCCGCCGCACGUACGAUAAGGGUACGCUUGGGAUUCAUUGAAGAGGGAACAAAUCGUCCAGUUGCUCGAGAGAGCCAGGGUAUUGUAAAUCUGUAUGUGCCUUUGGACCAGACAGAGGAGGAGUUUGUCAGUGAAAUAAGGCGUGUUUUCCCAAUGCUUGGUGAUAGAACAUUCAAGCUUUGUCGGAUGGAUGCCCAUCAUCACAUCAUCAUCCUGAAUUUGCCUGGCAUCACACCACGUGACAUAAAAGAGUGCCUUGAAUUGAAUAGGUCUGCGGUUUACGUCAGAAUCAAGGCUGAGGACCAACCUACUUUUACUGUGCACAACCAGGCACCCUUACCUGUAACGCCAAAUUCCAAUUUCAAAUUACCAGACAAAGACAGUCAGACUCUCUGUUACCUGACAACAGCCAUGUGCCCCCCACAGAAGAAAGACCUGUUUACCUGUCACCAGGAAGGAUACCCUUAAGCACUGCACAGCAAACUAGAAAUGGCUCAAGCAGAUUGUCUAGUCAGGUGCAUAAUGAUGUCAGUU
Molecule: long non-coding RNA, 1067 nt
Organism: Carassius carassius (crucian carp)
Lineage: Eukaryota; Metazoa; Chordata; Actinopteri; Cypriniformes; Cyprinidae
Exons: 3
Source: RefSeq, a predicted model, not a curated record